UCCUACGGGAGGCAGCAGUAAGGAAUAUUGCGCAAUGGGCGAAAGCCCGACGCAGCGACGCCGCGUGGGGGAUGAAGGUCUUCGGAUUGUAAACCCCUUUGGGGAGGGAAGAUGGAGCGAGCAGAUCGAUCGGACGGUACUCCAGAAGA
RNAcentral lists this ribosomal RNA (149 nucleotides) under uncultured bacterium. Its description in RNAcentral is "partial 16S ribosomal RNA". It matches the Rfam family "Bacterial small subunit ribosomal RNA", at positions 337 to 488 of the family's 1533-position model. The record is from RNAcentral.